CUUGCUCCCGGAUGUUAGCGGCGGACGGGUGAGUAACACGUGGGUAACCUGCCUGUAAGACUGGGAUAACUCCGGGAAACCGGAGCUAAUACCGGAUAGUUCCUUGAACCGCAUGGUUCAAGGAUGAAAGACGGUUUCGGCUGUCACUUACAGAUGGACCCGCGGCGCAUUAGCUAGUUGGUGGGGUAAUGGCUCACCAAGGCGACGAUGCGUAGCCGACCUGAGAGGGUGAUCGGCCACACUGGGACUGAGACACGGCCCAGACUCCUACGGGAGGCAGCAGUAGGGAAUCUUCCGCAAUGGACGAAAGUCUGACGGAGCAACGCCGCGUGAGUGAUGAAGGUUUUCGGAUCGUAAAGCUCUGUUGUUAGGGAAGAACAAGUGCGAGAGUAACUGCUCGCACCUUGACGGUACCUAACCAGAAAGCCACGGCUAACUACGUGCCAGCAGCCGCGGUAAUACGUAGGUGGCAAGCGUUGUCCGGAAUUAUUGGGCGUAAAGGGCUCGCAGGCGGUUUCUUAAGUCUGAUGUGAAAGCCCCCGGCUCAACCGGGGAGGGUCAUUGGAAACUGGGAAACUUGAGUGCAGAAGAGGAGAGUGGAAUUCCACGUGUAGCGGUGAAAUGCGUAGAGAUGUGGAGGAACACCAGUGGCGAAGGCGACUCUCUGGUCUGUAACUGACGCUGAGGAGCGAAAGCGUGGGGAGCGAACAGGAUUAGAUACCC
RNAcentral lists this ribosomal RNA (723 nucleotides) under Bacillus zhangzhouensis. RNAcentral's name for it is "bacterial SSU rRNA". It matches the Rfam family "Bacterial small subunit ribosomal RNA", at positions 79 to 787 of the family's 1533-position model. The record is from RNAcentral. Lineage: Bacteria; Bacillati; Bacillota; Bacilli; Caryophanales; Bacillaceae.